UGAAUGUCACAAAAGAAUUAAUAUAUAACGUUUUUCGUGAACAUAAAAUAGAAUAACUUGUAAUUUUUUUCUUAUUACGAAGCUGGAUGCCAGAUAAUUCAAAGACUACGGUAAUCGUUUCGAUAUAAUUAAUCACCCUUUUGGAUAAGAUAUAGAUUAUAAACGGUAAUUAUAAACUGAUUAUUCUAUUUAAUUAUUUAUAUAGAUCAUGUUCAUGGUCAACCUCUCCGUUAUA
RNAcentral lists this long non-coding RNA (235 nucleotides) under Brassica napus (rape). Its description in RNAcentral is "long non-coding RNA (BNAP_LNC005816)". The record is from RNAcentral. Lineage: Eukaryota; Viridiplantae; Streptophyta; Magnoliopsida; Brassicales; Brassicaceae.